CCCUUAGCUGUCCUGGGCCGCACGCGCGUUACACUGAUGCAUUCAACGAGCUUAUAACCUUGGCCGAGAGGCCUGGGCAAUCUUGUUAACGUGCAUCGUGAUAGGGAUAGAUUAUUGAAAUUAUUAAUCUUGAACGAGGAAUUCCUAGUAAACGCAGAUCAUCAAUCUGCAUUGAUUACGUCCCUGCCCUUUGUACACACCGCCCGUCGCACCUACCGAUUGGAUGGUCCGGUGAAGCCUCGGGAUUGUGGUUCUUGCCGCUUUAUUGUGGCGUGACCGCGAGAACUUGUCUAAACCUUAUCAUCUAGAGGAAGGUGAAGUCGUAACA
Molecule: ribosomal RNA, 328 nt
Filed under: uncultured eukaryote
Lineage: Eukaryota
Description: partial 18S ribosomal RNA
Rfam family: Eukaryotic small subunit ribosomal RNA
Source: RNAcentral